This 253-nucleotide ribosomal RNA is filed under the name uncultured bacterium. RNAcentral describes it as "partial 16S ribosomal RNA". It matches the Rfam family "Bacterial small subunit ribosomal RNA", at positions 524 to 776 of the family's 1533-position model. The record is from RNAcentral.
UACGUAGGGGGCUAGCGUUGUCCGGAAUCAUUGGGCGUAAAGAGCGCGCAGGCGGUCGUUCAAGUCGAGUGUGAAAGCCCCCGGCUCAACUGGGGAGGGUCAUUCGAUACUGAUCGACUCGAAGGCAGGAGAGGGAAGUGGAAUUCCCGGUGUAGUGGUGAAAUGCGUAGAUAUCGGGAGGAACACCCGUGGCGAAGGCGGCUCUCUGGGACGGUACUGACGCUGAGACGCGAAAGCGUGGGGAGCGAACAGG